CGACUCGCACUCUGGCAUGCUUUGGGGGAUUUAAUGGUGACUCGCACUCUAGUCCGCUCGCUCGCCGCCGCCGCCGUCACUUCGGAAGAGAAGAGUUGUGGGGUCGGGGGUUGGUCCCUAGGUGUCGGCCUCCGCCGCCUCACCUUAAGACUGUUCUCUACCUCCCCCCUGAGUCCUUCUUCUGCCUCUAGUUCAGGCCCUUCUACCUCCGGCCGGUCCCCUGCCUCUACCUUCCCCUCGAGUCCUUUCUCGUCCUCUCCUAGUCCUUCGAAGCCCUGGUUGAGUAGUUCUCAACACUUAGGAGGUGCCUGGGCCGCUGCGUUUCCUAUAAGAACCUAGUCGACCUAUAUGAGACCUCCCUCCUCAUGCGUGAGGCGUGCUUCUACUCAUUCAGGCCCUACCUCUAAGUCUCCCGAGGGCCAAGGCUAUGGCUAAGGCUAAGGCUAAGACCGUUACUCUACCCGUCAAGCCCCCACGUGGGUAUGGAGUAUUCCUACCUCACCUCUGACUCCUUCCUCUGCCUCUCCCUAAGGUCGUUCCCCUGGCUCUACCUCAGGCCGUUUCUCGUCCUUUACCUCCCCUUUGAGUCGUUCCUCGUGCUCUCUGAGUCCUUCCAAGCCAUGGUUGAGUUGUUCUCCACGCUGAGGUGGUUCCUGGGCCGCUGCGUUUCCUAUGAGAACUGAGCCGUCCUCUAUGAGACCUGGUUCCUCGUUCGUGAGGAGUGCCACUACUCCGUCAGCCCCUACCUCUAACUCUCCCUAGGGCUAAGGCUAAGGCCGUUACUCUACCCGUCUCUAAGCGGGGAGUAUUCGUACCUCACCCCUGAGUCGUUCCCCUGCCUCUCUCUACGGUCACCGUUCCUCUACCCAGUCUACCCAGUACUGCUGAACCAACAACGAGAAAGAUCGGUGGAACUCCACGAAUCCUCCCUCUAGAGCAAGGACUCCUGUCUCCAGUGCAGGGCCCCGUUACCCAACCGACCUUUACCUUUGUUCCGACUAGUUCUCGUGUAGUAGUACAGAUUGGAUAGGGAGCUACUGUGAGAUGAGUUCUUCUUCCCCCGCUUCCUCUUCUAGACUAGACCACCCCUCCCUGUUCCGGAACGAGCUCAACGACGACAAGUACCAGAACCUUGUUGUUUGCGUUCCCUUCUACGAGUUACCAUUUCUCCCCCGUCUCUCGAUAGACACUCCGGAUGUCGCCCGUCGCGGCAUCGCCGUGGUCGUCCGCAAACCAAAAUGCGUCGGCGUCCACGACCUGUCCUCGUCGCCUCGCGCAAACCGCCGUACGGCCUAGACGAGAACCAGGCGCACUCUUCCGACUGGUUCGUUCCCGUUCGUUUUCCUCUUACACUUGUUGCAUUACUACAAGCUGGUCCGGUGGAUGCUGUUCGACGAGUCACUCACUUACCCUACAUUUAUAGGCUUCUCUGUCCAUACGUAGAACCUGUGAAAGACCGUAUGCAAUGGUAACGACUCUUACUUCGAUAGCCUUCCCUCACAAUACUUAAAUACGACGACCAUACACACUUUCGUUAAGUGAAACUGAGCAGAUAACCCAAAGACAACGUUUAAUACAUGAGGGAGGCAAGGUAUAGUCGCUGCUCAUUAUACCUUACCUCCCUCUCAUCUUGACUUGAUGAGGGAGGCAGGGUAUUAUAUCCUGCAAAAAACUGUGAUGUGAUGUAAUACCCUGCCUCCCUCAUCAAACAAGCCUUAACUACAUUUUCGUAACAUACUAACUACGUUUCUUUUCUUUUCACUAAACGAUUCACUUUUUAGACAUCGUCGCCGAUCAAACAAACUGAACGGACACGUGACUCUCUCUGUCUUGACAAACCCAAAGACCUCCAAAUCGACGUACCUCGACAGUCACUAAAACGAUAUUUUACGUCACGUUUCACAAGGACACGUCCAGUAAAAGGAUAGCCAUUAAAAAUCUCUAACUCCUUACAACAGUGUAACUAAUUAGAACAACAGAGACGGGUCCCUGUCCCUCCCCCGAUUAAACUACUACCAAUCCUGCCGUUGCUUUAGAGCAUACGCGAUCUCUACCUGCCUUCCGACAUAAACUAGAACACCUCCCUCCCGAGGCCCGCCCUUAUGACUACCCACCUCGAAACAGCCACAGAACAUAAUAAAUAACGUCAUAUAUAGGCUCGAACAGCAAACCCAACGACAUCUUAAUUACACUACAACACCUCUCACGAUGAGCAGGAUCCAAAAGGAACAAAACAUAGGUGUGUCCACUACGGUGCGCCGUUCCAGGACGAAGAAACUCCUCAUCACAUAUAUCCUCUCCACGUAAAGCCUUAACUCCUUUCUAUACGAACAACGUCGACACAAAGUAUAUAGUCCGAUUACAUUUAAAACUUCAAAUAAUAGUCGU
This 2388-nucleotide ribosomal RNA is filed under the name Triticum aestivum (bread wheat). Its description in RNAcentral is "partial small subunit ribosomal RNA". The record is from RNAcentral. Lineage: Eukaryota; Viridiplantae; Streptophyta; Magnoliopsida; Poales; Poaceae.